RNAcentral lists this ribosomal RNA (571 nucleotides) under Streptomyces violaceus subsp. violarus. Its description in RNAcentral is "bacterial SSU rRNA". It matches the Rfam family "Bacterial small subunit ribosomal RNA", at positions 293 to 874 of the family's 1533-position model. Lineage: Bacteria; Bacillati; Actinomycetota; Actinomycetes; Kitasatosporales; Streptomycetaceae. The record is from RNAcentral.
UGAGAGGGCGACCGGCCACACUGGGACUGAGACACGGCCCAGACUCCUACGGGAGGCAGCAGUGGGGAAUAUUGCACAAUGGGCGAAAGCCUGAUGCAGCGACGCCGCGUGAGGGAUGACGGCCUUCGGGUUGUAAACCUCUUUCAGCAGGGAAGAAGCGAAAGUGACGGUACCUGCAGAAGAAGCGCCGGCUAACUACGUGCCAGCAGCCGCGGUAAUACGUAGGGCGCGAGCGUUGUCCGGAAUUAUUGGGCGUAAAGAGCUCGUAGGCGGCUUGUCACGUCGGUUGUGAAAGCCCGGGGCUUAACCCCGGGUCUGCAGUCGAUACGGGCAGGCUAGAGUUCGGUAGGGGAGAUCGGAAUUCCUGGUGUAGCGGUGAAAUGCGCAGAUAUCAGGAGGAACACCGGUGGCGAAGGCGGAUCUCUGGGCCGAUACUGACGCUGAGGAGCGAAAGCGUGGGGAGCGAACAGGAUUAGAUACCCUGGUAGUCCACGCCGUAAACGGUGGGCACUAGGUGUGGGCAACAUUCCACGUUGUCCGUGCCGCAGCUAACGCAUUAAGUGCCCCGCCU